GUCCACUGCAGCACUGGAUGUCACUGGCUACUGAAGACUAUGACUGAUGAUCACUCUUUGAUUCUGGAUGAAGAAGCAGCCUCCUAGGUGUCCGCUAAGUUGGUUUCACUACACAGCGGGAGCUGUGCUCUGUGGUUCCAACCAUGCUCAUGGAGAGGGGGGAUCUGUGAGGAGGAGAGAUCUCCCAGCAGUGGGGGCCCUGUGUGAGAUCCUGGAGGCGUCCCAGGACAGAGUCCUGUAAAGUUAGGGUGGAAUCAGAAGCCUGCAGGCCCUAGGGGAAAUUUACCGAAGAUGAUUUUAUGGAAGUGCAGUGUGCAUGAAGGUUUGUGCAAGUCACUGAGACCAUGGUUACCCUGGAUCACCGGGCUGAGGGCUCAUUCCAACUCUGAAGAUUGCUGUUCUUCAUCUGAAAGUCUGUCAUGCUUCCAAACCUAUCAGCUCAACACUGGGUGGGUCCACAGAGCUCAGGCAAGUCUCAGCUGAGAUCAUCGCAACCCCAAAUGACCUGAGCCCUGGGUAUGCCACCUACCAAGAAGGUGGCAGCUUGGACACUUGUUUCCUGGGCCACAGGGGGCAGGAAGACAGGGUUGGUCUGUGGGACUCUGAAGCUGGCAUUUUAAAGAUGCUGCAGAGGGAAGUCCUGGCCAUGUUUGUUCCACCAUGGCAGGUAUGGUGGGGAGAACAGGAUGGCUCCUCCUGAGCAGAUCUAAGGAUCAGCAAGGGAGAGGUCUUCCCGGGAGGGCGUAGGAGCAUCGUUUAAUGAGGACGAGAGUGUGUGCUCCGGCCAGAGUGGACGGUAGGUGACUGAGGUGCUCCUCUCCAACUGGGUCAUCCUCACCAGGCUCUGUGAGUGGGAUCAUCUGAAGCUCAGUGUCCUCACUCUGGAAAUGACAACACUGCCUUCCUCGCCACCUCCAGGGUCCUUAUGGGACCCCUAGGAGUGAAGGUGAUUUGAAGGUGUGCUUUGUUCUGGCAACGAAGGCAGGGUUCUUCUAAGAGGUGGAUCGUUAGGACUGGAGGUGGGCAUGGCAGCCCUGCAUGCAGCAAGGUCGCCUGAAGCCACAGCAACCCCAGGGAAUUUCCUCUAAAUGAAACUGUGUGUCUAAAUGAAGUUUCUGUUUUAAAUCAGACAGUGACCUAAUUACUGCUGGAGUUUCUUGGAUGUUUCCCUGUAUACACUGGCAAAUUGGAGAAGAGACUGACACACUUGAGUUGCUUGGUAUUUAGAGCAAUUGACAACCCUGUGGAGCCAGGCCAAAGCUCUGAGCAUGAAUUAAGUCUGGUGCUCCCUGGCUCUGUGUCCUCGGGCGAGAGACAGCUGCUCCUAGCUUCAGCAUCCUCCAUGGAAAUGUGGAUGCAAGACCUGAGAUCCAGCAGAGAGAGGAGGCGGGCCUGUGGUAGCCCAUCUGUGGGUCCUGCAGGAAGGCUGGAGGGGCAGUCACUGGAAACCCACUAUGCCAGUCUUGAGCCAAUCCCCAGGACCAGAGCAUCCCAGGCACUGGUUGGCUUUGGUUUUGGAUCCUGCACUCUACUUCUGAAGCUAGUUGGUGGGGAGCAAGUCCCUGGGCUGAAGGGAAUUGGGCAGGAAGCUUUGGGGACAGAGUUCACAGGACCUGGCCUCAUUGACAUAGAUGUGAGCAGAGUACCUAUCCUAAAAUAAUCCUUUCUCUCUGUGGGGCUUAGGACCUCAACAUUUCAGCACCACUGUUGAAAUCUAGUUCCAAAUUCCGUUAUGGCCAAUGAAUGUACAGACUAGAUAAACUAGAGGUACCCAUUUCAUUAACCUUUAUUCAUAUUUCUCUCAUCUUCUCUAUACAGAAAACAACUAAGUAGCAUAAACAUGAACUAAUAACAGAUAAAAUAAAUGAAAAUAAAAAGUAUCCAGUCAGGGCAUAAACACUUUUCUUGUGGUCCUGUAGCAGGAUAAGCUGAACUCAAAUACCCCCAACUGAGCCUCUGUUCCUCCCCUUCCAAAUGGAAUUUGUCUGUGAGCCUCAAUCCUAACAUAAAAAAAAAUAAAACACCAUAUCAUUUAUGUUUUAAGCUCAAUAAGUGAUAAGAAAUCAGUGAGCAGCAUUUGCUGACCUGUGGCCACUUAACCACAAAUGUUCUUGCUUUCCUUCUCCCCAAGAGUGCAGCAGAGUUAAUAUUCCUGUUGUUAAAUACCAUUUAGUAAUUGUCUCUGCAUGGUACUGAGGGGCUGUUAGAAAACAAGUGACUCAAUCCAGCAAAUCCUUUUCCUCCUGAGUCCCAGGUGCAGUCCGUUGGAGAAGGCCGUGGGCAUGUCAGCGCCUGAGAGAAGAGAGCUUCUCUGUGGGAAAGGCUGAGGGUUCUUUCCUCACACCUGAAGAGUCAAUAUCCCCACUAGGGAUAAGUCUUCUCAAAGAAACAUCGAGACUCUUAAGUUUAACCUCACCAAAGCUGCACUGAUGGGCUUCCUGAGGGCCUGAUCACCUGGAGCCUGCCCUAACGUCACAGCGUGUCCUUGCAGAAUUUGAUGUGGAGAAAAGACCUAGAAAAAAUUAAAGACAACUCAUGCUGUGAGCCUGGAUCCCAGCUCGGACCAUUGAGUUCCAGAGCUCCUGUUCUUAAUCUCUAAUCCAAGUCCUUGUCAAACGUCAGGAUCUGAGGAUUCUGGGGGUUGGGAAAUAUGUGAUGUCUACCUGCGGGAAUCUCGCAGGCCAGUGUAUAACAUGAUAAAACAAUACUAUGUGUGUCAUUACAAAUUGUGGAAAUGAUUUGCAGAGAAAAAUUUAAUGUGAGGAGAAUAAUAAUUUCUGGAGAACUCAGAGGAAAAGGAUAAACUGAUUUUGUUAACUUUUUUUUGAGGGAGGCGCUCACUCUCUAGUUCAGGCUGGGCUUGAACUCACAACUGUCCUCCCGCUUCAGCCUCCUGAAUGCUUGAGAUUACAAGUGUGUGCCGCCAUGCCUGCCUAUUUCUUAACUUUCUAAAAUCCCCUGCUUUGGAAGUUUUGGAUAAAGACUGUGUCUGAUAGGGCGAGGGGGAUUUUAAAUUGCUAUUGGGGAAUUCUCCUGCAGAGAUGUUUAUAUUCUGUGACUGGCCCUCCUUUGUUUUGUUUUUGUUUGUGUGUAUGUGUGUGUGUGUGUGUGUGUGUGUGUGUGUAUGUUUGUUGCUGUGCUUUUUAAUCUGAGCUAAUAACAACACUACAUUCAUUCUAUUAAAAAGCUUACACAAGCAGACGGUCAUUUCCAAAGCAGAUGUUCUGCAGCCCCUUUGAAAAGUGUUGGGCACAGCACAGCCUCAUGGGUGGUGUGUGUGAGACACCUCUGUGAGGACUUGGUGAGCCAAGCAGGCAGUCUGCAGCUCAUGACACACGGCGCUGCUUCUGGUGACUCUGUUGGGACAUCCUGCCACCUGCAUGGUCAUCUUACUGCAGGGUGUAGUGCACCCAGGGGUGUGUCACAUUCCAUGGUCGGGAUGGAGGUUGGUACUGUAUGGUGACUGCAUCAGUGACUCGCCCUCCCUCCAUGGAAUCUCCAUGCUGGCACCAAGCAUCUGCUUCUGCUCCUCCUGGAGAGCAGGAUCUAUGAACACAGUCCGUGCCCCUCAUGGAGAGUUUGCCUCGGUUCCUCUUAAUGAAGUGGCUGCUGGGGUGGUAGCUUUGCUCCCAAAGUCAGACUCUGUGGUCCGGGCAUUGUGGACACACCUCCCUCCACCCUCAUACAUUGUGUUCUUCCCUUCCUGAGUCUACUCUGCCUGAGCCCCAGUCCUCUGAAGACCUGGGCCAGGGCAAGUGCAUGAGGAGAAGGCAGCUGAUGCAAAGACUCUGCUGAGCAGUGGCUGUGGUUGGUGACUCCACUUCCCCCCUGGAGGGGAGGACCCUGGCCCUGCACCUGGAGAGGAAGUGACUGUCUGCAGCCCUUCCUGAAUGCAUUCACACGCCAUGCGUUUGCCAUUUCCAUGAGUGACUUUUAUUUUCUUUUAUUUUAUAAAAAGUUUUAUGAGUACAUGCUGAUGAUAUUACAUGACAAAGGAAUUUAUUUUGCUAAGUUUAUGCAAAUAUUUAAUAUCUUAAUUGUUCUCAAUCCUAUAAUCCCCUCUCCUUUUCUCCUCUCUCGCCUGUUCCCUUCCUCAUCUCCAAGGAGUCUACCACCUAGUUUCCCAUCCUUGCUACAUUUCUUAUUCUGUUUAUUUGUUUGAUUUCUCAUAAAAGAGAAAUCACAAAAUACUUAAUUUUCCAAGUCUGGCUAAUUUCACUCAUCAUGGUGGUUCCAACCAUUUUCCUGCAAAUAACAUGAUUUUAUUCUUUUUAUAACUGAGUAACAUUUCAUGUUGUAUAUUUUCUACAUUUCCUUUAUCCACUCAUCUGUUGAUGGGCUUCUAGGCUGCUUUUACAGUUAGCUAUUAUGGAUUGUGCUGCUACAAACAUGAUUAUGCAUGUGUCACUGUAAUAUGCUGCCUUUAAUUUUUCAGGAAUAUGCCUGAGAAUGGAACAGCUGAGUCAAAUG
Molecule: long non-coding RNA, 4470 nt
Filed under: Heterocephalus glaber (naked mole-rat)
Lineage: Eukaryota; Metazoa; Chordata; Mammalia; Rodentia; Bathyergidae
Description: lncRNA (ENSHGLG00100051932.1)
Source: RNAcentral